UACGGAGGGUGCAAGCGUUGUCCGGAAUCACUGGGCGUAAAGGGCGCGUAGGCGGCCUGGUAAGCGUGCGGUGAAAGCCCGGGGCUCAACCCCGGGUCGGCCGUGCGAACUGCGAGGCUGGAGCACUGUAGAGGCAGGUGGAAUUCCGGGUGUAGCGGUGGAAUGCGUGGAGAUCCGGAAGAACACCGGUGGCGAAGGCGGCCUGCUGGGCAGUGGCUGACGCUGAGGCGCGACAGCGUGGGGAGCAAACAGG
Molecule: ribosomal RNA, 253 nt
Filed under: uncultured bacterium
Lineage: Bacteria
Description: partial 16S ribosomal RNA
Rfam family: Bacterial small subunit ribosomal RNA
Source: RNAcentral